GGUUAUUGGAGGCUGUUUACACAUAAUGCUGUUGUGUGGUAACUCGGAGGGCCCAAGAAUAAGCAGAAGCCACCCACACGUCACGCAGUUCCAUUAGUCUGAUUUAUAGCGGCCAUUGGCCCUGCUGCAUCAGUGCCUAGAUGACAUCGGCAACCAGCACCUCCCACCAAUGCACGCCCAGUCCUUCUCAGUGGCUGCUGCUCUACGGAAAAAAAAAGUGAAAAAAAGAGAUGGCCGACGGCUGCCCUGACUUGCUGUAGCUGUAACAGGACAGGAAAUCAGGAGAAAGGGAGGAGCGUGAUAAGAAAUGCUAAGAUAACAAAUAAAGUGGACCCAAAAGGAGACUGGAGGCUAAGCCGAGCAGAGGAGACCACGUUCCUUGUUAAAGGGAAAGGAAAGUCUUUUUAACUUGGGGGUGCCACAAUUUAGGCAUCCCAAGUGAUUUUAUUUACUUAACUGAUAACCCAGGCUGCUGCUCCUGUCAACAGAUAACUGCACCGGCCCAGGGUUCUUCCAGAGAUCCAGAGUGAUUCUCUUUUUCCACUUCUUCAGACAUAACUGCACAGUGGUGUGAAAUAGCUGUUUUUUUUUUCUGUUGUUAAAGUAUGGCUUUUCACUCUGCUGUGUAUGCACAGCUGCGGGAAUAAAGAAUAAGCAUGAACAGGAUCCCUCUGUGUAGCUCACUGGGCCUCUGCAGUUUUCUAUUGAUAGGAGCAGCAGCCCUGGGUAUAUACAAUCACUUAGAGCUGCCUAACUUUUGGUACCUUCAAGUAAAAAACUUGCUUCUCCUUUAAAGGGAUGGGAUCUCUCACAUCUUUCCCUGUGUGAUGUGAUGAAAGCCCAAGGAGGAAGUUCUGGACUGAAGAGCUACUGCACAUUCCUUUCCUCUCCUGCUUCAUUUGCAUGUCUUCGACCCAACUGGCUGGCA
This is a long non-coding RNA of Xenopus laevis (African clawed frog), 928 nucleotides long. RefSeq lists it as uncharacterized. The transcript has 4 exons. The record is from RefSeq and is a predicted model, not a curated record. Lineage: Eukaryota; Metazoa; Chordata; Amphibia; Anura; Pipidae.